This 253-nucleotide ribosomal RNA is filed under the name uncultured bacterium. Its description in RNAcentral is "partial 16S ribosomal RNA". It matches the Rfam family "Bacterial small subunit ribosomal RNA", at positions 524 to 776 of the family's 1533-position model. The record is from RNAcentral.
UACGUACUGUGCGAACGUUAUUCGGAAUCACUGGGCUUAAAGGGUGCGUAGGCGGCCAAUUAAGUAGGGUGUGAAAUGUCUCGGCUCAACCGAGGAACUGCGCUCUAAACUAAUUGGCUCGAGUGAGAUAGGGGUGUGCGGAACUUCCAGUGGAGCGGUGAAAUGUGUUGAUAUUGGAAGGAACGCCGGUGGCGAAAGCGGCACACUGGGUCUUAACUGACGCUGAGGCACGAAAGCCAGGGGAGCGAACGGG